CAUUGUCUCAUUGUCACCCUGUCACCACCCCAGGUGUCACUGGGUUUGACCCCAAAGCCGUGGCUGAGCGCUAAGGAACGUCACCGUGUCACAUUGUCACCGUGUGUGUCACCCUGACACCCUGUCACACUGUCACCUCACAGGUCACAUUGUCACAGUGUCACCCUGACACUGCCCCUCAUGUCACCAAGUUUGACCCCAAAGCCGUGGCUGAGCGCUAAGGACAUGUGUCACCGUGUCCCAUUGUCACCAUGUCACAUUGUCACUGUGUCACGUUGUCACUGUGUCACAUUGUCACUGUGUCACCCUGUCACCAUGUCACCCUGUCACCGUGUCACCCUGUCACCGUGUCACAUUGUCACCGUGUCACCUCACGUGUCACAUUGUCACUGCAUCACCUCAGGGGUCACCAUGUCACAUUGUCACUGUGUCACGUUGUCACCGUGUCACGUUGUCACCCUGUCACAUUGUCACCGUGUCACAUUGUCACCGUGUCAUAUUGUCACCGUGUCACGUUGUCACCGUGUCACGUUGUCACCCUGUCACGUUGUCACCGUGUCACCCUCCCCUUGCUGUCACUGUCACCAACCCAGCGAGGUCACAACACCCGGCAGAUGCUGGGGACACCCAAAAUCCAACAGGAACACGCAAAAUCCAAAAAAAACACCCAAAAUUCCAAUGGGAACACCCCAAAUACAACAGGAACACCCAAAAUCCAACAGGAACACCCAAAAUCCAACAGCAACACCCAAAAUUCCCAUGGGAACACCCAAAAUCCAACAGGAACACCCCAAAUCCAACAAAAAACACCCCAAAUCCAACAAAAAACACCCCAAAUCCAACGGGAACACCCAAAAUCCCAACGGGAACACCCAAAUUCCAACAGGAACACCCAAAAUCCCAACAGCAACACCCAAAAUUCCCAUGGGAACACCCAAAAUCACAACAGGAACACCCAAAAUUCCCAUGGGAACACCCAAAAUCACAACAGGAACACCCAAAAUCCAACGGGAACACCCCAAAUCCCAACGGGAACACCCAAAAUCCAACGGGAACACCCCAAACCCCCUCAGGAACACCCGAAAUUCCCGGAAUUCCCGAAUUUCCCGGAAUUCCCGAGGAUACAGGACGAUGCCGGCCAGCAGCCAGUAGUCGUGGCGCUGGUGCCACCGCGCUGUCACCGUCCCCAGCCCCGGGGACACCCCAGACCCCCCCAGGAACACCCCAAACCCCCCUGGGAACACCCGAAAUUCCCGAAUUUCCCGGAAUUCCCGUUAUUCCGGUUGUUAUUCCCGAGGAUAC
RNAcentral lists this long non-coding RNA (1302 nucleotides) under Cyanistes caeruleus (blue tit). RNAcentral describes it as "lncRNA (ENSCCEG00000007732.1)". Lineage: Eukaryota; Metazoa; Chordata; Aves; Passeriformes; Paridae. The record is from RNAcentral.